RNAcentral lists this ribosomal RNA (372 nucleotides) under Triticum aestivum (bread wheat). RNAcentral's name for it is "partial small subunit ribosomal RNA". The record is from RNAcentral. Lineage: Eukaryota; Viridiplantae; Streptophyta; Magnoliopsida; Poales; Poaceae.
AUGCCGCCAUCCAAUCGUAUCCUGUAUAUGUCGGCCAGUAGAUUCAAAUUCAAAUGUACGCUGAUCCACACAACGCGUCGGCUCACACCCGCGUCGGAUCACAUCCCCGGUCACAACCAAAAGGAGGCAAAUAUGCUUAGUUUUUACAUGCACAAAUCCAAAAGAACAUCAGUUCGGCAGUCCGUGCAUCUCUGCCCUGCCGGACCGGCAAUCCUAGGAAGCUGGUCCCCGGUCAAGGAGGUGUCGCCGCCUCCGCGUAGGCAGUCUCCACGUCCGCAUCCGCCUAUGCGGCGUCCUCAUCGUCCGCCGCCGCCAACUCAUCUUUCUGCCGCUGCAACAUCUGGUAGCGGACGGAUUGCACGAUCAUUCUAG